RNAcentral lists this non-coding RNA (45 nucleotides) under Schistosoma margrebowiei. Lineage: Eukaryota; Metazoa; Platyhelminthes; Trematoda; Strigeidida; Schistosomatidae. The record is from RNAcentral.
AUCCAGAUGACGAGUCCCAAAUAGGACAAAACACGCGUCCUAGAU